This 253-nucleotide ribosomal RNA is filed under the name uncultured bacterium. RNAcentral's name for it is "partial 16S ribosomal RNA". It matches the Rfam family "Bacterial small subunit ribosomal RNA", at positions 524 to 776 of the family's 1533-position model. The record is from RNAcentral.
AACGUAGGACGCAAGCGUUAUCCGGAGUUACUGGGCGUAAAGAGCGCGCAGGCGGAUGUUUAAGUCGUUUAUGAAAGCCCUUGGCUAAACUAGGGGAGGCUAAGCGAUACUGAACAUCUAGAGUGAGGCAGAGGAGUGUGGAAUUCCGCAUGUAGUGGUGAAAUGCGUAGAUAUGCGGAGGAACACCAGUGGCGAAGGCGACACUCUGGGCCUUAACUGACGCUGAGGCGCGAAAGCGUGGGUAGCGAACGGG